UGACGCAGCAACGCCGCGUGGGUGAAGAAGGCCUUCGGGUCGUAAAGCCCUUUCGGACGGGACGAACGCUCCGCGGGGAUAAUCCGCGGGGCCUGACGGUACCGUAGGAAGAAGCACCGGCUAACUCCGUGCCAGCAGCCGCGGUAAUACGGAGGGUGCAAGCGUUGUUCGGAAUUACUGGGCGUAAAGCGCGUGUAGGCGGCCUGGUAAGUCAGAUGUGAAAGCCCUCGGCUUAACCGGGGAAGGGCAUCUGAAACUGCCCGGCUUGAGUACGGGAGAGGGAGGCGGAAUUCCCAGUGUAGAGGUGAAAUUCGUAGAUAUUGGGAGGAACACCGGUGGCGAAAGCGGCCUCCUGGACCGAUACUGACGCUGAGACGCGAAAGCGUGGGGAGCAAACAGGAUUAGAUACCCUGGUAGUCCACGCUGUAAACGAUGGGCACUAGGUGUGGGGGGUAUCCACUCCUCCCGUGCCGCAGCUAACGCAUUAAGUGCCCCGCCUGGGGAGUACGGCCGCAAGGCUA
This 521-nucleotide ribosomal RNA is filed under the name uncultured Pseudomonadota bacterium. Its description in RNAcentral is "bacterial SSU rRNA". It matches the Rfam family "Bacterial small subunit ribosomal RNA", at positions 384 to 896 of the family's 1533-position model. The record is from RNAcentral. Lineage: Bacteria; Pseudomonadati; Pseudomonadota.